Molecule: long non-coding RNA, 443 nt
Filed under: Helianthus annuus (common sunflower)
Lineage: Eukaryota; Viridiplantae; Streptophyta; Magnoliopsida; Asterales; Asteraceae
Description: sRNA HanXRQr2_Chr04g0158721
Source: RNAcentral
UGUAGGAUCUCAUACUCGUUGAGGACAACUCGUGUCUAUAUUGUAUUGCUAAAUCGACUAAAGCAUGUUCUCAGGGUACUCAGGGCAGGGUGUGAAGAGAGAAGAAUUGAGCUCUAGGACUUUUAAUCAGAGGAAAUUAGUCAUUUUUUAUCAUAUGCUAGCUUAUCUAUUUUGACCACCCUCUAAUAUGUAAUAAACAUUACCCUAGGGCUCUUGUAUGUUCUUUUGGUAAUGUACUCCUAACGUUUAACUUAUGGAAUUAUGUCUUAUGUUUUGAAUACUGUAAUAAUGACACGUCUCCACAUUCCGGGGUGGGAUGUUACAUAGCCCAUGACCCCAAGAGUAUGAGAAUAACAAGAGCAUUAAUUUGUUGUCGAAUUGUGACUUUCUUCAUGUUUUGCGUGUUGAUGGUUGUUUUGUCAUUGGUGGUGAUGGUUAUAUAG